RNAcentral lists this ribosomal RNA (497 nucleotides) under uncultured bacterium. RNAcentral describes it as "partial 16S ribosomal RNA". It matches the Rfam family "Bacterial small subunit ribosomal RNA", at positions 28 to 507 of the family's 1533-position model. The record is from RNAcentral.
GAUGAACGCUGGCGGCGUGCCUAAUACAUGCAAGUCGAGCGAACAGACGAGGAGCUUGCUCCUCUGACGUUAGCGGAGGACGGGUGAGUAACACGUGGAUAACCUACCUAUAAGACUGGGAUAACUUCGGGACAGCGGCGCUAAUACCGGAUAAUCUAUUGCACCGCAUGGUUCAAUAGUGAAAGACGGUUUUGCUGUCACUUCUAGCUGGAUCCGCGCCGCAUUAGCUAGUUGGUAAGGUCACGGCUUAUCAAGGCAACGAUGCGUAGCCGACCUGAGAGGGUGAUCGGCCACACUGGAGCGGAGACGCGGUCCAGACGCCUGCGGGACGCAGCAGUAGGGAAUCUUCCGCAAUAGGCGAAAGCCUGACGGAGCAACGCCGCGUGAGUGAUGAAGGUCUUCGGAUCGUAAAACUCUGUUAUUAGUUAAGAACAAAUGUGUAAGUAACUAUGCACGUCUUGACGGUACCGAAUCAGAAAGCCACGGCUAACUACGUG